Molecule: long non-coding RNA, 697 nt
Organism: Nicotiana tabacum (common tobacco)
Lineage: Eukaryota; Viridiplantae; Streptophyta; Magnoliopsida; Solanales; Solanaceae
Source: RefSeq, a predicted model, not a curated record
AAAAUCUAACAACGGGCACCAUCACCAUCUCAAAAAAGAGAAAAUUAGAUCCCCUCCCUCAAACUAACCCUAGUCGUUGCACCCCUCUCCUAUCCCCUUCUUAUUUCUUAUCUUCUCACCCAUACUCAUACAUUGGGCUACACACCUAAAUGCAUCUGAAAACAAAUUUGAAAUUCAAAAAUUUCCUUAUUAGAUCUGUAAUUUUCAGCUUCAAAUUGAGGGGAAAAACACAAAAAAAGAGUAAAGUUUCAGCUGACCUUUUUUUUACUCAAAAUAAUCAGUCGUAGUGGUUGAUUCAAGAGGUCUUCAAUACUAUUUUUCUGGUUUUUGAAAACUGAAUUUCAAAGAACAUUAAAAAGGGUAUUAAUUACUGAAGUUUCAAAAAAUCAACUUCCUCUUUUCUGGGUUUGCACAAGCCGUCAAAGCUCAAAUUCAUGCUUGUUGUUGUUGAUUUGGUUGUUUCAAAAGGCUGCUAAACUCUAGUUUUUUUGGCAUUUAGAUUCUGGAGUAGCUUCUGGACCAUAGAUUAGGUUGCUACCUUCAGUCCACACGGAGAUCCAAGAUUCCGGAGCAGCUUCUGGACCGUAGAUUGGGUGGCUACUUUCAGUCCACGCGUAGAUCCAAGGUACACAUGCAGGUGCCCGCAGGCCCUAGCGUCUCCCUCUAUUCCUUUAUCCCUGUUUCAUUUCCUUAAUUC